AGGACGAACGCUGGCGGCAGGCUUAACACAUGCAAGUCGAACGCGUGUAGCAAUACACGAGUGGCGCACGGGUGAGUAACGCGUGGAUAUCUGCCUUUUGGUUCGGAAUAACCCCGGGAAACUGGGGCUAAAUACCGGAUGGUUCCUACGGGAUAAAGAUUUAUCGCCAAAAGAUGAGUCCGCGUACGAUUAGCUAGUUGGUGAGGUAAUGGCUCACCAAGGCGACGAUCGUUAGCUGGUCUGAGAGGACGAUCAGCCACACUGGGACUGAGACACGGCCCAGACUCCUACGGGAGGCAGCAGUGGGGAAUAUUGGACAAUGGGGGCAACCCUGAUCCAGCCAUGCCGCGUGAGUGAUGAAGGCCUUCGGGUUGUAAAGCUCUUUUGGCGGGGACGAUGAUGACGGUACCCGCAGAAUAAGCCCCGGCUAACUUCGUGCCAGCAGCCGC
RNAcentral lists this ribosomal RNA (449 nucleotides) under uncultured bacterium. RNAcentral describes it as "SSU rRNA". It matches the Rfam family "Bacterial small subunit ribosomal RNA", at positions 26 to 518 of the family's 1533-position model. The record is from RNAcentral.